UACGAAGGGGGCUAGCGUUGUUCGGAAUUACUGGGCGUAAAGCGCGCGCAGGCGGUCCUUCAAGUCAGAGGUGAAAGCCCAGAGCUCAACUCUGGAACGGCCUUUGAAACUAGAGGACUUGGGUACGGGAGAGGUGAGUGGAAUUCCGAGUGUAGAGGUGAAAUUCGUAGAUAUUCGGAAGAACACCAGUGGCGAAGGCGGCUCACUGGCCCGUUACCGACGCUCAGGCGCGACAGCGUGGGGGAGCAAACAGG
Molecule: ribosomal RNA, 254 nt
Filed under: uncultured bacterium
Lineage: Bacteria
Description: partial 16S ribosomal RNA
Rfam family: Bacterial small subunit ribosomal RNA
Source: RNAcentral